ACGCUCGACACCUACGGGAGUCAGCAGUGGGGAAUAUUGCACAAUGGGGGAAACCCUGAUGCAGCAACGCCGCGUGAAGGAAGACGGUUUUCGGAUUGUAAACUUCUGUUCUUAGUGAAGAUAGUGACGGUAGCUAAGGAGCAAGCCACGGCUAACUACGUGCCAACAGCCGCGGUAAUCUGAGCGGGCUGGCAAGGC
This 198-nucleotide ribosomal RNA is filed under the name uncultured bacterium. RNAcentral describes it as "partial 16S ribosomal RNA". It matches the Rfam family "Bacterial small subunit ribosomal RNA", at positions 328 to 539 of the family's 1533-position model. The record is from RNAcentral.